This 479-nucleotide ribosomal RNA is filed under the name uncultured Thiothrix sp. RNAcentral describes it as "bacterial SSU rRNA". It matches the Rfam family "Bacterial small subunit ribosomal RNA", at positions 901 to 1382 of the family's 1533-position model. Lineage: Bacteria; Pseudomonadati; Pseudomonadota; Gammaproteobacteria; Thiotrichales; Thiotrichaceae. The record is from RNAcentral.
UUAAAGGAAUUGACGGGGCCCGCACAAGCGGUGGAGCAUGUGGUUAAUUCGAUGCAACGCGAAGAACCUUACCUAGACUUGACAUCCCGGGAAUUCUUAGGAAACUAAGAAGUGCCUUUCGGGGAGCCCGGUGACAGGUGCUGCAUGGCUGUCGUCAGCUCGUGUCGUGAGAUGUUGGGUUAAGUCCCGCAACGAGCGCAACCCUUGUCAUUAGUUGCUACAUUCAGUUGGGCACUCUAAUGAGACUGCCGGUGACAAGCCGGAGGAAGGUGGGGAUGACGUCAAGUCCUCAUGGCCCUUAUAGGUGGGGCUACACACGUCAUACAAUGGCUGGUACAAAGGGUUGCCAACCCGCGAGGGGGAGCCAAUCCCAUAAAGCCAGUCGUAGUCCGGAUCGUAGUCUGCAACUCGACUACGUGAAGUCGGAAUCGCUAGUAAUCGUGGAUCAGAAUGUCACGGUGAAUACGUUCCCGGGUCUU